GGUUAACGCUGGCGGCGUGCCUAACACAUGCAAGUCGAACGGUUCUAAGCGCGAGCUUAGGAUAGUGGCGAACGGGUGAGUAAAAGGUAGGAAUCUACCCCUUGGACGGAGAUAGCUACUGGAAACGGUAGGUAAACUUCGAUAAGCCCGAGAGGGGAAAGUGGUGAGACAGCCGAGGGAUGAGCCUACUCUCCAUCAGGUAGUUGGUGAGAUAAAAGCUUACCAAGCCGAUGACGGAUAACCGGUGUGAGAGCAUGAACGGUCACAAGGGCACUGAGAGACGGGCCCUACUCCUACGGGAGGCAGCAGUGGGGAAUCUUGGACAAUGGGCGAAAGCCUGAUCCAGCGACGCCGCGUGGAGGAAGAAGUCCUUCGGGAUGUAAACUUCUGAACUAGCCGAAUAAAAGGACCUGUGGACACACAGGAGAAGAAAGUAGGCUAGGAAAAGUACCCGGGCUAACCUCGUG
RNAcentral lists this ribosomal RNA (467 nucleotides) under uncultured bacterium. RNAcentral's name for it is "bacterial SSU rRNA". It matches the Rfam family "Bacterial small subunit ribosomal RNA", at positions 28 to 507 of the family's 1533-position model. The record is from RNAcentral.